This 319-nucleotide ribosomal RNA is filed under the name uncultured bacterium. Its description in RNAcentral is "bacterial SSU rRNA". It matches the Rfam family "Bacterial small subunit ribosomal RNA", at positions 202 to 507 of the family's 1533-position model. The record is from RNAcentral.
GAAAGACGGGUUUCGGCUGUCACUACAAGAUGGGCCCGCGGCGCAUUAGCUAGUUGGUAGGGUAAUGGCCUACCAAGGCGACGAUGCGUAGCCGACCUGAGAGGGUGAUCGGCCACACUGGGACUGAGACACGGCCCAGACUCCUACGGGAGGCAGCAGUAGGGAAUCUUCCACAAUGGACGAAAGUCUGAUGGAGCAACGCCGCGUGAGUGAAGAAGGUUUUCGGAUCGUAAAACUCUGUUGUAAGGGAAGAACACGUACGAGAGUAACUGCUCGUACCUUGACGGUACCUUAUUAGAAAGCCACGGCUAACUACGUG